This is a long non-coding RNA of Papaver somniferum (opium poppy), 1081 nucleotides long. RefSeq lists it as uncharacterized. The transcript has 4 exons. NCBI's taxonomy places the organism in Eukaryota, Viridiplantae, Streptophyta, Magnoliopsida, Ranunculales, Papaveraceae. The record is from RefSeq and is a predicted model, not a curated record.
GUAUGCUUUUUUCUUUUUGCACUGCAGGUGAGAGAUGAACUCCUGCAGAUUACGCUAUUCGUAAAUUAUUUAUGAAAGUAAGCCACUGAAAAAUAGUUAUGAUGUAUUUUUUGUACAAAUCUUUUCAUUCCACAAUGCAGGGCAACUGGAUCAAGUAGCAACUUAGAUCUUCCGGUCAUAUAACCCAGUAUGUUGUUGGAUUCGUUUCGUUUUUCAUGUGGAUUUUGCUUUCAGAUCCGUUCUCAAGCAAGUCUCAAUCCCUAAUAUAGGAUAUCCAAUUGUGUGAGAUAUACAUUUUGGUUAUUUUUCUGUUCUAAACAAACCCCUAUUUGUCAAACACAGGUUACAGAGAUGUGCUUGGGCAUAAAUAUAGUGCAAGGUGAAUUUUGGUAGGACACUUUGAAUUGAUAAUGCAUGUUAUGAUUGCAGCUAAAUAAAAGUACUACCUCCGUUUCAAAAUAAUAGGCAGUGAUUCCUAAGUCGUCAUUGAUGAUGGAUUUUUGGCUUUCCGGAUGCGUUUGAUUCCAGUUACACCUCAAUGCCUUAUACCUUCUUGGAAGACUUGCAAAUCAAACUGAUAGUGGUUGUCACACUGUUCUCUUCUACAUUGAGCUGCGAAAAGAUUACUGAAGAGGAUGGAAUACAACUAUUAGCAGAAGAAUGAGUACUGUACUAUUGUUAACCUCCGUGAAGCAGAUGCGUGCACUUUUCUGCAUGUAGCUGUUGAAGGUAAAGGCAAUACUUCCUUUUUUCCAUUUGUUAUUCGGUUCUUACCCAAGACCCAGGAUACACUUGAGUCAUAAUCAAUUGGAAAUCAGUAGGUUAGGCAUGAAAUUUCCAUCCAAGAUAUUCACAACUAGGAAAGAAAAAAAAAGGUCCUAACAUGGGUUUCUCCUUACUUAAGAUCUCUAAAUGAAAAUAGUAUCCAAUCAACCAAUUUAUUAGGGUAGGCAGUCGUCUUAUUAUACCAUUAUCAAUGUUAUUUAUGCCUACGAAACUAGAUGACAGUAGUACACAGUUUUACUGGAUUUUGAAAAGCCAUAAAUUUUGUGGUGCAUCCAGAUGGAUGACAAACUCUGAA